CGCCCCGAGACUCCUGGCUCGGGGGGUUGCCAACAAGCCCAAUUCGCUGGGGGCGAGGGAGCCCUCUAGCAUUAGGAUCGUUUUAGGGGACGGAGAGAGAGGUGUCCGGGGAGCUCCCCAGGGUAGGACAGAAAAGGGGAAGAGGUGGGGACCCCAGAGCAAGAGCUGCUGUGGGCUCCCUGCCCCCCAUGACGGGGAGGCGGUUAAACUACCUGGCCAGGCCAUCUGCCCGGAGGCAGCUUCUCCGGCUCCAGCCCCGUCCUGCCCCAGAAGGAUCUCCAUGCCACUUGGAUACCUAUGGACCACCUACUUACCUGCCAAUUUUUACUCGAGACACAGGGGAUUCAGGAGGAAACAGAACAAAGGUCCUGUCCUCAGGAAGCUUAUAUCACUCUGGUGGGGCAGACCGACAACAAAGAAAUACACCAUGUCAAAAUACGUCAGGUGGUGGCUGUCCUCCACCUAGCAGCCAGUGCAAGCUUUUAAAAAUGCGAAUCAUUUCUAGCCUGACAACCUUCCGGUGGCCUCCCGCCGCAUCUGGAAUAAAUCCAAACUUCCGACUAUGGCCUGCCUCCAUUCCAAUCUUUGAAACUUCGUGGCCUCGUCUCCCAGUCCUCUGGCACCCUCUGCCUCAGCCACAUAGGCCAGAGCCUUUGCACUUGACCUGCCUUCUCCUGGACCCCUUUGCAGUGGGGUGCUGUCUUGGCUCCAGAUUUCCGCUCGACAUGGUGACAUUAUCGGUGGCACCUUUCCUGACUUCUCCAUUUAACUUGGUACCUCCAGGGGUUCCUGGCUGGCUCAGUUGGAAGAGCAUGUGA
Long non-coding RNA from Lynx canadensis (Canada lynx), 818 nucleotides. RefSeq lists it as uncharacterized. Lineage: Eukaryota; Metazoa; Chordata; Mammalia; Carnivora; Felidae. The record is from RefSeq and is a predicted model, not a curated record. The transcript is spliced from 3 exons.